GAAUAUAAGUGUAAUCUGGUUGCACAAUGUCACCCCAUUGAUCACCAGGGUUAAUUUGGCUGAUUGGGCUGACUAUGCAGGUGUCCCCUUCCUCCCACAUCUCUCUUUGUGCAUCCCUCCAGAAGCUAAACACAGUGGAGAAGGAUGGAUAACCUUCUCCCAUAGAGAAGGACCAUUCAAGGGUAUAUGAGAAACUGCAUAUCUCUGCUAGAACCUCCAAGCAAGUUCUCAAGGUCCAUUUCUGAGGGAACAUAGGAUAGUCAUGCUUCCAAAACUCCAGGCACAUCCAAAGGAGGUGUUACAGCUACGUGUGGCAGUUUGCCUUUCUUA
This is an unclassified non-coding RNA of Vulpes vulpes (red fox), 330 nucleotides long. Its record names the gene 7SK. It matches the Rfam family "7SK RNA". From Rfam's summary of the family: 7SK was discovered as an abundant small nuclear RNA in the mid-70s but a possible function has only recently been suggested. Two independent studies have found that 7SK RNA binds the CDK9/cyclin T complex (known as elongation factor P-TEFb). The record is from Ensembl. Lineage: Eukaryota; Metazoa; Chordata; Mammalia; Carnivora; Canidae.